GAAAUCCUCUGGGGUUGGGUGAGAUUCCCUACCGGCGGUAAAGCCCGCGAGCCUUUGGCAGAUCUGGUGAAAUUCCAGAGCCGACAGUUAGAGUCUGGAUGAGAAGAGGAACAG
This 114-nucleotide non-coding RNA is filed under the name Desulfosporosinus orientis. RNAcentral's name for it is "FMN sequence". It matches the Rfam family "FMN riboswitch aptamer (RFN element)". Rfam says of the family: The RFN element is a highly conserved domain that is found frequently in the 5'-untranslated regions of prokaryotic mRNAs that encode for flavin mononucleotide (FMN) biosynthesis and transport proteins. This element is a metabolite-dependent riboswitch that directly binds FMN in the absence of proteins. The record is from RNAcentral. RNAcentral also lists the same sequence under 1 other name. Lineage: Bacteria; Bacillati; Bacillota; Clostridia; Eubacteriales; Desulfitobacteriaceae.